GUAUUGGAUAUCCGCGUCCAAGCAGUUAGGCUGGGAAAUAGGCAAAUCCGUUUCCCAUAAGGCUGAGCUGUGAUGGCGAGCGAAAUAUAGUAGCGAAGUUCCUGAUUCCACACUGCCAAGAAAAGCCUCUAGCGAGGUGAGAGGUGCCCGUACCGCAAACCGACACAGGUAGGCGAGGAGAGAAUCCUAAGGUGAUCGAGAGAACUCUCGUUAAGGAACUCGGCAAAAUGACCCCGUAACUUCGGGAGAAGGGGUGCUCUGUUAGGGUGCAAG
Molecule: ribosomal RNA, 273 nt
Filed under: Xanthomonas citri pv. citri
Lineage: Bacteria; Pseudomonadati; Pseudomonadota; Gammaproteobacteria; Lysobacterales; Lysobacteraceae
Description: partial 23S ribosomal RNA
Rfam family: Bacterial large subunit ribosomal RNA
Source: RNAcentral